RNAcentral lists this unclassified non-coding RNA (2937 nucleotides) under Hevea brasiliensis (rubber tree). The record is from RNAcentral. Lineage: Eukaryota; Viridiplantae; Streptophyta; Magnoliopsida; Malpighiales; Euphorbiaceae.
CGACUGCCGACAUUACCACCGUCAAUUUUUAUUUUUUAAUUACAACUAGGGGCCGUGCGGCUCUCUGAGAAAGCAAUUGCUUAAUUUUUCUUAAUUAUAUAUUACUUGCCUUAAAUGGAGGUGGUUGGCAUAUUCCUGUCACUGAACUACUUCUUCUUCUUCUUUCUCUCUUUUUUAUUUAUUUUUUUUUCCAUUAAACAAUAUAUUGUUAAUAUGCAAACCAUUCUUCAAAAUCAAGCAGCAAUUCGUUCAGCCAUGGAGCGUAAUAUUUAGCUCUUUUUUGAUUCCUCACCAAGAAGCUCAAAAAUGGUGAAAACUUAAUCAAACUCUAGACAGACAUCAAGAAUCAUGGUGGAAAGCUAUAAAAAUACCUUCAACUUUCAUCAUUCAUUGAAGGAUUUCAGAAAUCAAAUAGAAGUCAUCGUUCAUAUCUGUAAAAUAUUUUGUAAAAGAUUUCAAUUUCGUUUUCACCUGCUGCAAAACACAAUUACAUCUGUACUGCAAAUAUCAUUAACGAUAAAGUGUUCUAAGAUAACCUCCUAGAAUGAAAUCAAUAACAGUCAAAGAUGGUAGGUACCAUCACCAUGCUCUUCAUUCAUGUGAAGAUGCAGAAAUACUUCUACAGAGAGAGGUGUUUCAAUAAGACAAUUAGCUUUGUUUAAAAAGAAUCCGCAAGUACGAACACACCAAAUGGAGACCAGUAAGAAAAGGGUGUUCAACCUUAUGCUUCACCUUAAAUGCUUACCACUCAUGCGCUUCACCUUUGAUUUUUCAAUAGAAGCCACCUUCUGAAGUCUAAUCUGCUCCCUGAACUUGGCUAUGAACUCACCAGCCUUCUUAUCAACCUCAUUAGGGUCACCUCCUGCAUCACUCACAAAGUCAGUCACACUACCUUCAUCUGAGCUUGCCGGAGUGCUGUCAGUCUUACUCUCCAAGUCAGUUUCAGAUUCCACAGCAACAUUCCCCAAACCUUCUUCCUUUUCUUUCUUCAGAUAUUUUGCAUAUGUUGGCAUUGGCACAUCGUAGUGAGUAUCAAGAUUCUUCUUGUUAAUGCCACCUGACAUAUUAUCCAUUCCUUCCCUUUUCAUUUCGUUUUUCCCUGUAUUUACUGCUUUUGCUACAUCAGAACCUUCUCCAGCCUUAUCAUCGAUGUGGGUUUUGAUCAUCUCUCCAAACUUUAUUGACUCUGGAGUAUAUACACCACUUCUAAUAGUCCUAACUGAUUUUCCCUUCGAUGUAGGUUUAGCGACCGUUGCAGUUGCAAGUUUCCUAUCCAAUUUCAAAGCACCCUGCCCCCUCUCUUUACUAGCCAGUGAAUCUUCUUUUCUGCCACUCAGAUCCUUUAACUUAUCUUUUGAGGUUCCGCGCAAAUCCUUUUGGAACAAGGAGCCACUACUGUAUCUCCUUAAAUGAAAUGCAUUCAGUCGAGCCUCGCGAUUCACUGUUGUUAGUGGUGAUUGUGAAGCAGGAGGAUAUGAUGCACGGAAAUCCUUCUUUUUCCCCGAUUCUUCUGUUCCUGAAUUUGGCGAAUCAGAAGGCACAGAGUCUGAAGGAGAGAGCCUGGUUGGUGAAUUUGACAUUGAACUAGCUUGGGACGAGAAAGAAGUUGCAGACCUGAAAGAUUGCGAUUUGAGAGAUUCAAACUGAGUUUCAUCUACUGAGAGAGGCCUAAAAUGAGAAGGACGACCAGUAACAGGACCUACUUUCUCCCACAUAUCUCCCCUUCCAGAUCUAGAACGCCAUGGAACUUGAGAGGGUGUGGAAAAACUUUCAGUAAAUUUCUCCUCCAGGUUUGAGGGGCCCAUAUCACCCAUCCGUUCCUCGUCCAUACUCCUUCCAGAACUACUGGGAGAACCAAUCAAGCUUGAACUAGACUCGCUUCCAUUACUAAAUUGAGCACUACCUGGGUUUCUAAUCUUUGAUUUUAAACUCCUAACUGGCAAUCCUAACGGUUUGUAACCAACUACUUGCCCAGGUUUCUCCCAUUCACCAAUUGCAUAAUUUGGUUGGGACAAAACAAUCACUGAUUCACCCUGGAAAUACUGAGAAUUCCAAGUCUGAACAACACUAUCCUGAUCUUGCUCAUGUGAAACCUCAGUUUCAUUUUCAAAAUUGAUCGAUCCAGUUUUGCUCUCUCCACCGAUAACAGAGCUACCAUUAGUAACAGUAACCGUAGACUCACCCCUAUAAAACUGAGAAUUCCAAGAUUGAUACAAAUUUUUCUCAUCGAAGCCACAUGGAUUUUCAUACCCAUCCUCAAAAAUCGGGGAAACAUGAAAAAUCCUAGACACAAAAGAUGAUUGUGCAUCGUCAUAGUUAUUGGAGUGGGUUUCAAAGUCCACUUCAACAUUUCUGCGGCUAAACAAGCCAUAGGAGACAGCAACGCCGAUGAAGAGUAAGUGAACAAGCUCCCAGAACUUGGUAAAUAUGGACUGGCUGAUAAAGUUAGGAGCUUGAGAAGGGAAGAGAGGAAUAGCAAUAAGAAAGAGGAGAAAGAAAAGAGACUUACAGAAGAUGUGAGUGUAGGAUUUGUGUCUGGUGACGGGGGAGUGAUUUGCUUCAAACUCCUGAGGUGAGAGAUGGGGCUUAGUGUAAGAUCUUGAAUCUGCCAUUGAUAGAACUGUGUUAGAGCUUCCUGAUAGGCUAGUUUGUGUGUGUUAAAUGGUUGGGGAGGGGAGGGGAGGGUAGGCGAGGUGAGAAGGUGAAGAAAGAAAGGAAGACUUUGAGGGCAAGGAAAAUUAGAUUGAAGAAUGGAAAGGCAUGAGGGAGAGGAGGAAAAAUUCAAAAGGGUCGUAAUUAUGACCGUUGGUUUAAAAGACAGAAUUGUCCUCGCUUUUUGUCCACUUAGCAAGGUGAUUUAGGUUUUUCCGUUUGCAAAUGGAUAUAAAUUUUGCAUAAUAAAAAUGAAGGUCGUACUCGUGACUUGCUUGUUUUUGC